Small nucleolar RNA from Phragmites australis (common reed), 86 nucleotides. RefSeq annotates it as small nucleolar RNA snoR20a. The record is from RefSeq and is a predicted model, not a curated record. The transcript has a single exon. NCBI's taxonomy places the organism in Eukaryota, Viridiplantae, Streptophyta, Magnoliopsida, Poales, Poaceae.
GCCUUUGAUGACAUGAUGCUUGCAGAACAGGCAAAUAUUAGCCUGCAAUCUGUUGAUAUUUCUCAUGAACUAGGACGGUCUGAGGC